GAUGAACGCUAGCUACAGGCUUAACACAUGCAAGUCGCGGGGCAGCAUUUUCUUAGCUUGCUAAGGAAGAUGGCGACCGGCGCACGGGUGAGUAACGCGUAUCCAACCUUCCCAUGUCCACGGGAUAGCCCGUCGAAAGGCGGAUUAAUACCGUAUGAGGUCACAUGCGGGCAUCUAAGUGUGACGAAAGGUUUGGCGGACAUGGAUGGGGAUGCGUCCGAUUAGCUAGUUGGCGGGGUAACGGCCCACCAAGGCGACGAUCGGUAGGGGUUCUGAGAGGAAAGUCCCCCACAUUGGAACUGAGACACGGUCCAAACUCCUACGGGAGGCAGCAGUGAGGAAUAUUGGUCAAUGGGCGAAGCCUGAACCAGCCAAGUAGCGUGCAGGACGACGGCCCUAUGGGUUGUAAACUGCUUUUAUGCGGGGAUAAGUGGGCCACGCGUGGCCUUUUGCAGGUACCGCAUGAAUAAGGACCGGCUAAUUCCGUG
RNAcentral lists this ribosomal RNA (488 nucleotides) under uncultured bacterium. Its description in RNAcentral is "bacterial SSU rRNA". It matches the Rfam family "Bacterial small subunit ribosomal RNA", at positions 28 to 507 of the family's 1533-position model. The record is from RNAcentral.